AUGUAUAUACCACCUCAUUCAUCAGAUUGGAGAGAAAAGAGGCCACGUUCCCUAACUGGCACCUGGAUGCUCCCAAGACCCCUUUCUCCCUGCCUUGGUCAUCUCUCUGGAGCCCCGGAAGCCUCUGUCCCUUUCCCACCCAACUUCCCACUGGAUGCCAUCCCUGGGGGUCCAGACUUAAGAGAUGAAGGACAGCUGGUUAGGACAGACAAUGUUGAGUUGCAGGGCAGAAGGUUCAAGAGGGCACUGGAGGUUUGCCAAAAUGCCCCAAGCUUCUUCUCUUGCCCUCUAGGAAAGGCCACUCAACUGGGCUACAAUGAGAAAAAUUUCAAAAGCCCUAAGGAAAUGUGGGCUGAUCUUUGAGCUAAAAGGGACCUGAGAGGGCAAACAUCCAAACUGUACCGAAAGCAAAGAAACCUCUUCUGCAAUAUCCUCAGACAAGAGGUCAUCAUCCAUAUGGACUAUUAUUAGGAACAGGAAAUGUCUGAGGUCAGAUUUCAAAUUCAGAUCUUCCUACCUCAGAGCCCAGCACUCUAGGCACUGAGCC
RNAcentral lists this long non-coding RNA (547 nucleotides) under Monodelphis domestica (gray short-tailed opossum). RNAcentral's name for it is "lncRNA (ENSMODG00000042858.1)". The record is from RNAcentral. Lineage: Eukaryota; Metazoa; Chordata; Mammalia; Didelphimorphia; Didelphidae.